GGCGUCCCUUCGCAGUCGUCUGGAAUCCUGUUGCUUGGCGGCCUGUGCGCGCGUGCGCGGACAUGGCUUCAAACGACUAUACCCAACAAGCAACUCAAAGCUAUGGGGCCUAUCCUACCCAGCCUGGGCAGGGCUAUUCCCAACAGAGCAAUCAGCCCUAUGGCCAGCAGAGUUACAGUGGUUAUGGCCAAUCAGCUGACACUUCAGGAUACGGCCAGAGCAGCUAUGGUUCUUCUUAUGGACAGACCCAAAACAGCUAUGGAACUCAGUCAGCACCCCAGGGAUAUGGUUCCACUGGUGGCUAUGGCAGCAGCCAAAGUUCCCAGUCUUCUUAUGGGCAGCAGUCCUCCUACCCCGGUUAUGGCCAACAGCCAGCUCCUAGUAGCACCUCAGGAAGUUAUGGUGGAAGUUCUCAGAGCAGCAGCUAUGGGCAGCCCCAGAGUGGAGGCUAUGGUCAACAGUCUGGCUAUGGUGGACAGCAACAAAGCUACGGACAGCAACAAAGCUCCUAUAACCCACCUCAGGGUUAUGGACAACAGAACCAGUACAACAGCAGCAGUGGAGGUGGUGGAGGGGGUGGUGGAGGCAACUAUGGCCAAGAUCAGUCCUCUAUGAGUGGCGGCGGCGGUGGUGGUGGUUAUGGCAAUCAGGACCAGAGUGGUGGCGGCGGUGGUGGCUACGGGGGAGGCCAGCAGGAUCGUGGGGGCCGUGGCAGGGGCGGUGGAGGUGGUUACAACCGAAGCAGUGGUGGCUAUGAACCCAGAGGCCGUGGAGGUGGCCGAGGAGGCAGAGGCGGCAUGGGCGGAAGUGACCGUGGUGGCUUCAAUAAAUUUGGUGGUCCUCGGGAUCAAGGAUCUCGUCAUGAUUCUG
This 870-nucleotide long non-coding RNA is filed under the name Rattus norvegicus (Norway rat). Its description in RNAcentral is "long non-coding RNA NONRATT001245". Lineage: Eukaryota; Metazoa; Chordata; Mammalia; Rodentia; Muridae. The record is from RNAcentral.